GUCUAUGGCUAUACCACUCUGAAUGCACCCAAUCCUGUCUGAUCUUAAAAGCUAAGCAGGGUUGGGCCUGAUUAAUAUUUAGAUGGGAAAGAAUGCAAAAGAGGAAUGGGACU
RNAcentral lists this ribosomal RNA (113 nucleotides) under Castor canadensis (American beaver). Lineage: Eukaryota; Metazoa; Chordata; Mammalia; Rodentia; Castoridae. The record is from RNAcentral.